This 497-nucleotide ribosomal RNA is filed under the name uncultured bacterium. Its description in RNAcentral is "partial 16S ribosomal RNA". It matches the Rfam family "Bacterial small subunit ribosomal RNA", at positions 28 to 507 of the family's 1533-position model. The record is from RNAcentral.
GAUGAACGCUGGCGGCGUGCCUAAUACAUGCAAGUCGAGCGAACAGACGAGGAGCUUGCUCCUCUGACGUUAGCGGCGGACGGGUGAGUAACACGUGGAUAACCUACCUAUAAGACUGGUAUAACUUCGGGAAACCGGAGCUAAUACCGGAUAAUAUAUUGAACCGCAUGGUUCAAUAGUGAAAGACGGUUUUGCUGUCACUUAUAGAUGGAUCCGCGCCGCAUUAGCUAGUUGGUAAGGUAACGGCUUACCAAGGCAACGAUGCGUAGCCGACCUGAGAGGGUGAUCGGCCACACUGGAACUGAGACACGGUCAAGACGCCUACGGGAGGGAGCAGUAGGGAAUGUGACGCAAUGGGCGAAAGCAUGACGGAGCAACGCCGCGUGAGUGAUGAAGGUCUUCGGAUCGUAAAACUCUGUUAUUAGGGAAGAACAAAUGUGUAAGUAACUAUGCACGUCUUGACGGUACCUAAUCAGAAAGCCACGGCUAACUACGUG